RNAcentral lists this ribosomal RNA (253 nucleotides) under uncultured bacterium. RNAcentral's name for it is "partial 16S ribosomal RNA". It matches the Rfam family "Bacterial small subunit ribosomal RNA", at positions 524 to 776 of the family's 1533-position model. The record is from RNAcentral.
UACAGAGGUCUCAAGCGUUGUUCGGAUUCAUUGGGCGUAAAGGGUGCGUAGGUGGCGCGCUAAGUCAGGUGUGAAAUUUCGGAGCUUAACUCCGAAACUGCAUUUGAUACUGGCGUGCUUGAGGACUGGAGAGGAGACUGGAAUUCAUGGUGUAGCAGUGAAAUGCGUAGAGAUCAUGAGGAAGACCAGUGGCGAAGGCGGCAUCCUGGACCGACACUGACGCUGAGGAGCGAAAGCCAGGGGAGCAAACGGG